UGGUGGAGUGAUCUGUCUGGUUAAUUCCGUUAACGAACGAGACCUUAACCUGCUAACUAGUUACUUGAAUAGCUUCACGCUAUUCUCGGUCAACUUCUUAGAGGGACUAUCAUGGUCGCACAUGAUGGAAGUUUGAGGCAAUAACA
Molecule: ribosomal RNA, 146 nt
Filed under: uncultured eukaryote
Lineage: Eukaryota
Description: partial 18S ribosomal RNA
Rfam family: Eukaryotic small subunit ribosomal RNA
Source: RNAcentral